This 580-nucleotide ribosomal RNA is filed under the name Streptococcus thermophilus. RNAcentral's name for it is "bacterial SSU rRNA". It matches the Rfam family "Bacterial small subunit ribosomal RNA", at positions 88 to 656 of the family's 1533-position model. The record is from RNAcentral. Lineage: Bacteria; Bacillati; Bacillota; Bacilli; Lactobacillales; Streptococcaceae.
UGGAUGAGUUGCGAACGGGUGAGUAACGCGUAGGUAACCUGCCUUGUAGCGGGGGAUAACUAUUGGAAACGAUAGCUAAUACCGCAUAACAAUGGAUGACACAUGUCAUUUAUUUGAAAGGGGCAAUUGCUCCACUACAAGAUGGACCUGCGUUGUAUUAGCUAGUAGGUGAGGUAAUGGCUCACCUAGGCGACGAUACAUAGCCGACCUGAGAGGGUGAUCGGCCACACUGGGACUGAGACACGGCCCAGACUCCUACGGGAGGCAGCAGUAGGGAAUCUUCGGCAAUGGGGGCAACCCUGACCGAGCAACGCCGCGUGAGUGAAGAAGGUUUUCGGAUCGUAAAGCUCUGUUGUAAGUCAAGAACGGGUGUGAGAGUGGAAAGUUCACACUGUGACGGUAGCUUACCAGAAAGGGACGGCUAACUACGUGCCAGCAGCCGCGGUAAUACGUAGGUCCCGAGCGUUGUCCGGAUUUAUUGGGCGUAAAGCGAGCGCAGGCGGUUUGAUAAGUCUGAAGUUAAAGGCUGUGGCUCAACCAUAGUUCGCUUUGGAAACUGUCAAACUUGAGUGCAGAAGGG